UAGGGAAUCUUCCACAAUGGACGCAAGUCUGAUGGAGCAACGCCGCGUGAGUGAAGAAGGUUUUCGGACCGUAAAGCUCUGUUGUUGGUGAAGAAGGAUAGAGGUAGUAACUGGCCUUUAUUUGACGGUAAUCAACCAGAAAGUCACGGCUAACUACGUGCCAGCAGCCGCGGUAAUACGUAGGUGGCAAGCGUUGUCCGGAUUUAUUGGGCGUAAAGCGAGCGCAGGCGGAAGAAUAAGUCUGAUGUGAAAGCCCUCGGCUUAACCGAGGAAUUGCAUCGGAAACCGUUUUUCUUGAGUGCAGAAGAGGAGAGUAGAACUCCAUGUGUAGCGGUGGAAUGCGUAGAUAUAUGGAAGAAUACCAGUGGCGAAGGCGGCUCUCUGGUCUGCAACUGACGCUGAGGCUCGAAAGCAUGGGUAGCGAACAGGAUUAGAUACCCUGGUAGUCCAUGCCGUAAACGAUGAGUGCUAAGUGUUG
RNAcentral lists this ribosomal RNA (478 nucleotides) under uncultured bacterium. RNAcentral describes it as "partial 16S ribosomal RNA". It matches the Rfam family "Bacterial small subunit ribosomal RNA", at positions 355 to 825 of the family's 1533-position model. The record is from RNAcentral.